GACGAACGCUGGCGGCGUGCUUAACACAUGCAAGUCGAACGGAAAGGCCCUUCGGGGUACUCGAGUGGCGAACGGGUGAGUAACACGUGGGUGAUCUGCCCUGCACUUUGGGAUAAGCCUGGGAAACUGGGUCUAAUACCGAAUAGGACCACGCGCUUCAUGGUGUGUGGUGGAAAGCUUUUGCGGUGUGGGAUGGGCCCGCGGCCUAUCAGCUUGUUGGUGGGGUAAUGGCCUACCAAGGCGACGACGGGUAGCCGGCCUGAGAGGGUGACCGGCCACACUGGGACUGAGAUACGGCCCAGACUCCUACGGGAGGCAGCAGUGGGGAAUAUUGCACAAUGGGCGCAAGCCUGAUGCAGCGACGCCGCGUGAGGGAUGACGGCCUUCGGGUUGUAAACCUCUUUCAAUAGGGACGAAGCGCAAGUGACGGUACCUUUAGAAGAAGCACCGGCCAACUACGUG
This 462-nucleotide ribosomal RNA is filed under the name uncultured bacterium. RNAcentral describes it as "partial 16S ribosomal RNA". It matches the Rfam family "Bacterial small subunit ribosomal RNA", at positions 28 to 507 of the family's 1533-position model. The record is from RNAcentral.